ACGACCUUACUUGAACAGGAUCUGUUCUAUAGGCUCGUACCUCUGUGUCCUUGAGACCUAAGGAGACAGGAACCAAAGUCUGGUGGAUGAACCAUGGCCGUGUAACCAGAGCGUGAUUAACGGCUCUUCUGGGUCCUGCUUGGAUCCAUUUGAGCUGUAGAGGAUCGUUCUCAGCCCACUGGGGCUGGGAUGGUCACACGGCUGUCUGACAGACU
RNAcentral lists this small nucleolar RNA (215 nucleotides) under Eucalyptus grandis. RNAcentral describes it as "Plant small nucleolar RNA U3". It matches the Rfam family "Plant small nucleolar RNA U3". Rfam says of the family: Small nucleolar RNAs (snoRNAs) are involved in the processing and modification of rRNA in the nucleolus. There are two main classes of snoRNAs: the box C/D class, and the box H/ACA class. The record is from Rfam by way of RNAcentral. Lineage: Eukaryota; Viridiplantae; Streptophyta; Magnoliopsida; Myrtales; Myrtaceae.